GGGAAUAAACCUCCGUUCGUGAACGGAGCUGAAGGUACCUGAAGAAUAAGCAUCGGCUAACUCCGUGCCAGCAGCCGCGGUAAUACGGAGGAUGCAAGCGUUAUCCGGAUUCAUUGGGUUUAAAGGGUGCGCAGGCGGAUUGGUAAGUCAGGGGUGAAAUCCCACAGCUCAACUGUGGACCUGCCUUUGAUACUGCUAGUCUUGAGUAUAGUUGAAGUUGGCGGAAUGUGUCAUGUAGCGGUGAAAUGCUUAGAUAUGACACAGAACACCGAUCGCGAAGGCAGCUAGCUAAGCUAUAACUGACGCUCAUGCACGAAAGCGUGGGGAUCAAACAGGAUUAGAUACCCUGGUAGUCCACGCCGUAAACGAUGAUUACUCGAUGUUGGCGAUACACAGUCAGCGUCUGAGCGAAAGCAAUAAGUAAUCCACCUGGGGAGUACGUUCGCAAGAAUGAAACUCAAG
RNAcentral lists this ribosomal RNA (462 nucleotides) under uncultured bacterium. RNAcentral's name for it is "bacterial SSU rRNA". It matches the Rfam family "Bacterial small subunit ribosomal RNA", at positions 442 to 905 of the family's 1533-position model. The record is from RNAcentral.